GGUAGCGAAAUUCCUUGUCGGGUAAGUUCCGACCUGCACGAAUGGCGUAACGAUCUCCCCGCUGUCUCUAACGUGGACUCAGCGAAAUUGAACUGUGUGUCAAGAUGCACACUACCCGCGGUUAGACGGAAAGACCCCAUGAACCUUUACUCCAGCUUUGCACUGGUAUCAGGAUUGUGAUGUGCAGGAUAGGUGGUAGGCAUUGAAGCGGGGACGCCAGUCUUCGUGGAGCCUCCCUUGAGAUACCACCCUUCGCCAUCUUGAUAUCUAACCGCGGCCCGUUAUCCGGGUCCGGGACCCUGCAUGGUGGGGAGUUUGACUGGGGCGGUCGCCUCCCAAAUUGUAACGGAGGCGCGCGAUGGUUGGCUCAGACCGGUCGGAAAUCGGUCGUUGAGUGCAAUGGCAGAAGCCAGCCUGACUGCAAGACUGACAAGUCGAGCAGAGACGAAAGUCGGUCAUAGUGAUCCGGUGGUCCCAAGUGGGAGGGCCAUCGCUCAACGGAUAAAAGGUACUCUGGGGAUAACAGGCUGAUGAUGCCCAAGAGUCCAUAUCGACGGCAUCGUUUGGCACCUCGAUGUCGGCUCAUCUCAUCCUGGGGCUGGAGCAGGUCCCAAGGGUACGGCUGUUCGCCGUUUAAAGAGGUACGUGAGCUGGGUUUAGAACGUCGUGAGACAGUUCGGUCCCUAUCUGCCGUGGGUGCAGGAGACUUGAGAAGAGUUGACCCUAGUACGAGAGGACCGGGUUGAACGAACCACUGGUGGACCAGUUAUCGUGCCAACGGUAGUGCUGGGUAGCUAUGUUCGGACAGGAUAACCGCUGAAGGCAUCUAAGCGGGAAGCCCCCUUCAAAACAAGGUCUCCCUUGAGAGCCGUGGAAGACCACCACGUCGAUAGGCCAGAGGUGUAAGUGCAGCAAUGCAUUCAGCUGACUGGUACUAAUUGCUCGAUUGGCUUGAUCUG
This 959-nucleotide ribosomal RNA is filed under the name wastewater metagenome. Its description in RNAcentral is "bacterial LSU rRNA". It matches the Rfam family "Bacterial large subunit ribosomal RNA", at positions 1955 to 2925 of the family's 2925-position model. The record is from RNAcentral.